Molecule: ribosomal RNA, 558 nt
Filed under: Klebsiella quasipneumoniae subsp. similipneumoniae
Lineage: Bacteria; Pseudomonadati; Pseudomonadota; Gammaproteobacteria; Enterobacterales; Enterobacteriaceae
Description: partial 23S ribosomal RNA
Rfam family: Bacterial large subunit ribosomal RNA
Source: RNAcentral
CACUAUCGUUAACUGAAUACAUAGGUUAACGAGGCGAACCGGGGGAACUGAAACAUCUAAGUACCCCGAGGAAAAGAAAUCAACCGAGAUUCCCCCAGUAGCGGCGAGCGAACGGGGAGCAGCCCAGAGUCUGAAUCAGCUUGUGUGUUAGUGGAACGGUCUGGAAAGUCCGACGGUACAGGGUGAUAGUCCCGUACACCAAAAUGCACAGGCUGUGAACUCGAAGAGUAGGGCGGGACACGUGGUAUCCUGUCUGAAUAUGGGGGGACCAUCCUCCAAGGCUAAAUACUCCUGACUGACCGAUAGUGAACCAGUACCGUGAGGGAAAGGCGAAAAGAACCCCGGCGAGGGGAGUGAAAAAGAACCUGAAACCGUGUACGUACAAGCAGUGGGAGCACCUUUAUGGUGUGACUGCGUACCUUUUGUAUAAUGGGUCAGCGACUUAUAUUCUGUAGCAAGGUUAACCGUAUAGGGGAGCCGCAGGGAAACCGAGUCUUAACUGGGCGUUAAGUUGCAGGGUAUAGACCCGAAACCCGGUGAUCUAGCCAUGGGCAGGUU